This 317-nucleotide ribosomal RNA is filed under the name Pseudomonas sp. Its description in RNAcentral is "bacterial SSU rRNA". It matches the Rfam family "Bacterial small subunit ribosomal RNA", at positions 466 to 782 of the family's 1533-position model. Lineage: Bacteria; Pseudomonadati; Pseudomonadota; Gammaproteobacteria; Pseudomonadales; Pseudomonadaceae. The record is from RNAcentral.
GUUUUGACGUUACCGACAGAAUAAGCACCGGCUAACUCUGUGCCAGCAGCCGCGGUAAUACAGAGGGUGCAAGCGUUAAUCGGAAUUACUGGGCGUAAAGCGCGCGUAGGUGGUUUGUUAAGUUGGAUGUGAAAUCCCCGGGCUCAACCUGGGAACUGCAUUCAAAACUGACUGACUAGAGUAUGGUAGAGGGUGGUGGAAUUUCCUGUGUAGCGGUGAAAUGCGUAGAUAUAGGAAGGAACACCAGUGGCGAAGGCGACCACCUGGACUGAUACUGACACUGAGGUGCGAAAGCGUGGGGAGCAAACAGGAUUAGA